GACGAACGCUGGCGGCGUGCUUAACACAUGCAAGUCGAGCGGUAAGGCCCUUUCGGGGGUACACGAGCGGCGAACGGGUGAGUAACACGUGGGUGACCUGCCCUCAGCUCUGGGAUAAGCCUGGGAAACUGGGUCUAGUACUGGAUAUGACUCCACGGUGCAUGUCGUGGGGUGGAAAGCCUUGUGCGGCUGAGGAUGGGCCCGCGGCCUAUCAGCUUGUUGGUGGGGUGAGGCCUACCGAGGCGACGACGGGUAGCCGGCCUGAGAGGGCGACCGGCCACACUGGGACUGAGACACGGCCCAGACUCCUACGGGAGGCAGCAGUGGGGAAUCUUGCGCAAUGGGCGAAAGCCUGACGCAGCGACGCCGCGUGAGGGAUGACGGCCU
RNAcentral lists this ribosomal RNA (387 nucleotides) under uncultured bacterium. RNAcentral's name for it is "bacterial SSU rRNA". It matches the Rfam family "Bacterial small subunit ribosomal RNA", at positions 28 to 417 of the family's 1533-position model. The record is from RNAcentral.